RNAcentral lists this long non-coding RNA (4575 nucleotides) under Daphnia magna. RNAcentral describes it as "uncharacterized LOC116926880, transcript variant X8". Lineage: Eukaryota; Metazoa; Arthropoda; Branchiopoda; Diplostraca; Daphniidae. The record is from RNAcentral.
CGACCAUCUGUUGAUCGCUACUGCGGACCGUUGUGAUGAGAUGUACGUGCAUAAUCGCUUUUUUCAACUGCAACGAAGUAAAGAUCCGUAUCAAACACAAGGUCUUUAAAAAGUCUAUAGAAGAGCAACAAAACGGAUUUCAUGUAGGAGAUGCGAUCACUCUCCAUCCCCCCCUCCGUUCCACAACAUCUAAACCGUUUACGCUAUACAACAUUUCAAUCUUAUUAUAUACUGAAAAUUCGCGUAUCGAAACGCCCACGGACUUAAAAACGUUUACUACCCUAAGUGAGAAAAAUGUUUAAACCCAUACCGGCAAAAGUACACACUUAGGAAAUCCUUAUCCUGAUUGAUGUAUUUCUAUCCCCCCCCCUCCUACCCUUUUUUUUUUGUGUGUCUGCCUCCGAUUCCCCAAUCUACAGUACACAUAUAGUUAAGCAGCUUAUUAUAGCCGAUUGAGGGCAACAGAAACGAAGAAGGACUUUUGGCAAUUCCAAAGCUAUAUAUCUAUAAUAAAGGGGCUUAUGGAUAAUAUAGCGAAUGUAGUUUUUUCUGCGACUGAUUCAUUUGUUGUUCUAUAUAGACGAGAUGUUGUACGUGUACGAUUUUUCACGCGCCCUUGAUUGAGAUUGGGGCAACGCGGAAUUUUUCAAUAAUUAAAACAUUCUCGUCCAUACAGUUGCCCUGAUUGCUUUACCGUCUGAUUGAAACACGUAUCAUUUUCUUAUAUGUGCACAUUGAUCACAUAUGCUUGCCAAAAUGGAAGAUAUAGUCAACUUUCACGCCCCUGGAACUAAUUACCCGUAACCAAUUGGCAUAUAACUGCGCCUUUGCACUGUGUGCAAUACGCGGCCAGGCCUUAUUCUCGAUCCGUUCAGCGGAAAUAUACAGGCCAGUGUGGGCGUGAUGAGAUUCCACUUAAUCAACAUUUUGAAGCGUAUAGGACAUAUUCAUUUUUAAUAUAAAAGGACAUUUAAAAAAAAAUUAUUAGCCGAAACUUCUUAUUACAACAUAAAAAGUUGAAAUGAAUGCUGUCCAGGGGAUGGUGUCAGACACGCACGACCAGUGGCAAGUGUAAUACAAAUGAAACACCAAAGAACAGAGUUUGAUAGGAAUUCUCGAGAUUCCUUUGGUCUCCAAAGGAAAGUUCUCCCCCCCCCCUUCCUCUCUUUCGUCCAUUGUUUCCACUAUUACUAAUCAGACACACGUAUGUAGCCCAGGCAACUGGACGCGCUGGGGUUCAAGCAUUGCCAAAACUUUAUAUAUCAUCAGUCUUUCUCUCUCUGUCUGCCUGAGAGAUAGAGGGAAUGUAGAGUCCAUAUACGUUUAUGCUCUGAAGCCGGGAAUUCAUUGCUGGAGGAACAGUGCAUAUAUUCUAUUCAACUCUUCGUAGAAAAGUUUUCUCCGUGUGUGUGUGUGUGUGUGUACAUAACUUGUGUCUAUAUAUGUGUGUGUGUAUGCUGGUGGGAUCUAUAUGGCAUUACUAUGGGGAUUUUCGGUACCACUGCGUACAGUAGCGAAUAAUAAUAACACGUCUGGGCGAUUGAAAAAAAAAAAGGAUCGACAUGUGUCGUCUAUAUUCGUGACACUUUUUUGUUUUUUUUAUAUUCCCUUUCUCUAUAUGACGCCUGUCGCCUUUUCUUCCUUUUUGCAAAAUAAAAGUCUAGAGAAAAGUUUUUCUUUCGAUCGAAAAGUUUUUCUUGGGGAGGGGAAUCUCAUCACUCGGGGAUCAGCUUUUCAUUUUUCCAGGACGAUUGAUAUAUUAUAUGUUAUCGAUCCGUACCGAAGGCGGAUGUCUUGCUUUUUUUCGUGUUGACAUUUGUUUUUUGUUUUGUUUUUGUUUUCUUCCGUGUGUAGUGUGAAUUUCUACCGCUAGAUGGCAUAAUCAUUUUUGACAUUCCUCGGAAGAAAACGGGCGUUUGGUAGAAAUGACUGCGUUAUUACCUAAUAUCGUCAUAUCAACAUUUACUGCCUGGUUAGAAACAUGGACAUCAAAAGACAUACGGACCUUUUUCGUGCUACACUCACGCAUUACGGACACGUUCAACGAACGGAAUAUACGCACGUUUAUUGUCACGCUUUCAUCCAUCACGCCUACGUCGUUCCCCUCCGUUUUGUCAACAUUACAUACACCGAAAGGCGUCGUCUUCCAUCUUUUUCGUAUUUGACGCUAUUUUUCUGUACCCCCGGUUCGGCUAUAUUGGAACGCAGGCCAGCAUGUAGGCUUCUGGAAUGAUGGAACUAUCACGCUCGUUAUUGAUGACACACCGCCCUCUUUCCCAUGUCGUAUACCCGAGGCCUAUAACCAGGAGAAAAAUAAACAUAAAUACACGAAAAAGAAAAAGAAAAAGAAAAAAGAAAAAUAAAUAGUGAAAACGUUAUGUAUUUUCUUGGCCAUGCCUCUGCGUGUAGUCACGUGACAACAUUGUCCUAUUUAUUUAUCGUUGGCGGUUUUUGCUUUGUGUCUCUAAAAGAUAUACGAUUUGGGCUGUAAUCGUUAUAUAGCCGUUAAGACAAGACGAAUUGCGUUUCUGGGAACGGGAGAGGUGGGAGCGACAAAGACACGCCCAUUUUUACCACACGAGGUCGAAUGCAAUAAUGAGUAAGUUAUAGAUUGUCGUGAGUUUUACUUUUAUUCCCGCUGUCAAAGAGGUAUGUCCCUUGAUUUUUUUCGUUUCGUAAUCGGGAUUGCUAAGGAUAAAUGUAAAAUUUGUCGAUUGAAUAAAUGUCGUUGAUUUACUAUUCGAAUGCUAGAUGGCGACACCAUAUGGAAGCUGAUUAUUCAAUAAUGAUUCAGUUUUUCAAAAUGGCUCCAUAUACGCGGAACAAUGUAUACAUUGUGCUCAUCGAUGGAAAAAAAUUACCUAAUCGAUUUUCUGAUAAUAACUUCAACAAUGGAGAUGAAACUUGCCCAACCGGUCUCUGUAAUGGAACUCACAAUUGACCAAUGAGUUAGUGCUGAAAGAAAGUGAAAUGGUCAACGAAGAUGCCGACAUGUCUCUCGAAAACAACGAACUGCUUACUAAGAAAAUCAAUGGAUUGAUUGUGUUGCAAAGGCGUUGCAUUCUGAACGACUUAUUUUGUACGGAUUUCGUCAACUUUUAGUGGAAGUUCGACUUUCGGCAAAUAAGGGAAUAUGCAAAGCCUAUUAGCUACUACUCUUACUGGUAACUAAAAACUAAUCAUACCAAAGCCUGAAAAGAAUGUACGAUUGCGCUGUGAGAAAAUAGGAUAUGGAAAUCCUCUACAGCCUGGUUUGUCAUUUAAUAAUUUAUUUUUAUUUUUAUUUUUUGCUCGUUACUUAAUAAUUUGUCUUCAUUUUAACGUACAACUUUGGACUGUAUUAAAAACCAAAGUUUCAUGAAGAUUCUGUUCUGACAGAGGGUGUUUCAUAGAAUAAUAUCUAUCUGACUAUCUCCACAAGAGGCGCUGAAAACUGUUGCGCAUUAGGCCUCCGUGAAAAACAUAGUAGGCCUACCAGGAUAAAAAAAUUUUCAGUAUUUUGCAUGAGCUUUCGUAGUUUUGGACGCAGGAUGUCGAAGAAGUUUUAAGAACCUGUUCAUGUUCGCCAUGCACGUUUUACAAUCAACUAGCCGAAUAUGGAUGAAAUGUCAUGCCUCGCAAAUGAGAAAAAUUGGUUUGAGUGAUGCGUCUUAUAUGCCUCACCUGAGGUUCCAGAUUGAAUCCAAUUAUUUUAAACCACAUUGUAUGCAGUUAUAACCUUAUGUCAAUGAUCCUGUCAAGAAAUUCCAUCUGAUCAUUUGAAAGAUUCUUGCCAGUGGGGCUGGAUACUGUUUUCGAUCACAACUGCUAACUGCUUAUUUCAGCUGUUCCAGAGUGUUAAAACAUUACUAAAUCAAGUACUUAGAGGUGGCUGCCCAUGACAAAAGAAGAGGCCCUUAACACAAAAUCAACGUCAGUCGUCCAGGACGUUAUCGAAGAGAUUAGUGGAAUGAUCGCCAUUAGAUCCGACCAGGAAAUGGAGGAAUAUUCGCUGUAUUAGAUGGCAGUAAGAAUACAUCCUCGGCGUCACAUCUGUGCUGCUGCAGAAAAAUCAGCAAAUGAUUUCUGAAGCAGACGAACUGUAUGACUAACUCAAUUUUGCCCAUUGUUUUGAAAAGUACUGUCACUGGCAUCACCAUCUAGCGGAAUUCUGACAGGAAAAUAGCUUUUUUUUUUUUUUCAAUAACACGUUUUGUGUAAAAAAUUUACAUGAUUUGGAUUCAAAAUUCAACAACAAUUACAAAAAAACAAUACAAUUUACAAAACAGUCGGACUUACUUCUUUUAUGGAGAAGUGAGAGGAUUUUAAGUUGGGUUUCAAAGUAGAUGGAGCCACUGCUGCAUAUUUUCAAGACAUGACAGAACCUGUUUCAUUUCUGGUUUAGCGUCCACGGAGAAUACCUGCGUCAUUAAGUUCUUGUUAAAAUUACACUCCUGAUGUCGUGUGGUUUUACCUGGAAUUUAGCGUCUCAGAACUGUGCUCGAUGUGCUGUGAUGGCCACAGGACCCUGUUUGUGACAGAAUGCAAUGCCACAGAUGUUUUGUUGCCACUGUAAAUAAAAGAUCUUUAGUGUCA